GUCGGGCAUGGUGGCUCAUGCCUGUAAUCCCAGCACUUUGGGAGGCCGAGGCAGGCGGAUCACCUGAGGUCAGGAGUUCAAGACCAGCCUGACCAACAUGGUGAAACCCUGUCUCUA
Pongo abelii (Sumatran orangutan) is the source of this 117-nucleotide unclassified non-coding RNA. It matches the Rfam family "Metazoan signal recognition particle RNA". From Rfam's summary of the family: The signal recognition particle (SRP) is a universally conserved ribonucleoprotein. Lineage: Eukaryota; Metazoa; Chordata; Mammalia; Primates; Hominidae. The record is from Ensembl.